RNAcentral lists this ribosomal RNA (393 nucleotides) under Triticum aestivum (bread wheat). Its description in RNAcentral is "partial small subunit ribosomal RNA". The record is from RNAcentral. Lineage: Eukaryota; Viridiplantae; Streptophyta; Magnoliopsida; Poales; Poaceae.
AUGGUCCUCAAACUUGACUUCAAAAAGGCGUUUGAUUCUAUUUCCUGGCCUUCUCUCCUCAAAAUUCUACGCCAUCGGGGUUUUCCAGAUCGCUUCUAUGCCUGGAUUGAGGACCUACUCUCGACCGGUAAAACUGCAGUCAUGCUAAACGGAGUACCUGGUAGCUGGAUCCAGUGCAAAAAUGGUCUCCGACAGGGUGAUCCCAUCUCACCCUAUCUGUUCAUCAUCGUUGCAGAUGUUCUUCAACAGCUCAUCCUGUCUGCUGCCUCUGAUCAAGCAAACGAGCUUCACCAUCCGGUCUACCAUGACCUACCGCCCUCUAUUCUCCAAUACGCCGAUGACACGCUCAUCAUUGCCCAUGCUUCCACUAUGGCGGCCCGCAAGCUCAAGUAG